Molecule: non-coding RNA, 91 nt
Filed under: uncultured Clostridium sp.
Lineage: Bacteria; Bacillati; Bacillota; Clostridia; Eubacteriales; Clostridiaceae
Description: Purine riboswitch
Rfam family: Purine riboswitch aptamer
About the family: Riboswitches are metabolite binding domains within certain messenger RNAs that serve as precision sensors for their corresponding targets. Allosteric rearrangement of mRNA structure is mediated by ligand binding, and this results in modulation of gene expression. A class of riboswitches that selectively recognises guanine and becomes saturated at concentrations as low as 5 nM.
Source: RNAcentral
CAACAGAAAAAACUCGUAUAUACUUAGAAAUAUGGUCUAAGAGUAUCUACUUGCUAACCUUAAAAUGGCAAACUACGAGGUGAGUGUUUUA